Molecule: long non-coding RNA, 7008 nt
Organism: Centrocercus urophasianus (Greater sage-grouse)
Lineage: Eukaryota; Metazoa; Chordata; Aves; Galliformes; Phasianidae
Exons: 6
Source: RefSeq, a predicted model, not a curated record
CUACACUACAGCCUAGUUUAUUCAGAAACUUGUCUGCUAAAGGAAUUAUGUGCCUUCUCCCCUUCUAGCUCCACUCUCUCCAGUUUCUCUUUCCUCAUUAUUGGUUUCUCCUAUUCAUGUUUUCCCUGUGCCCCUUCUUGGGUUUGCAGGGCUUCUGCAUCGUGACCACUUCCAACACCAGCUAUGCUUCCUUUUCAAGCCUCUCCUCUCCUGCACGUGUCUUCCUAAAAUGCACUUGCUCUAUGCUAACCAGGCAUGUUCUCCAGACACAUGAACAAAAGGACUAGGAGUGGAAGAUAUUCUCAGUUUUUCAGGCAGAAUAAAUAAGACAUAAUCAACAAGUGAAAUUCCCAGCUCUGUUUGUGUACAUCUGCACCAUGUGACCUGGGUUUUCUUCUUGCAGCUGACUGGAGAGCUAAGUGCUUGCUGUGCAACACAGAUUGCAUAUUUGGAAAACAAGUCCAUAUCUACAUGACUGUAUGGAUUGAGAACAGAUCUUCUGUGAUCCGAUUUUCUUAAUCUUUAAAGGAAAGAGUUAUCUUUUCCUUCUUGGAUGAGAAUCAGGAUAUGCCUUAAAACCAGCUGAAUGAAGAAAUCUGAACACAUUCCACAGUGCUUUCAAGGAAAGGGACAAAUGUGUCGCUGUUCAACCAUCUUUGCUUCCUUUCAAAAAACAAAGGAUAUCAGAGACUCUGCUUAAAUGUUGGGUACUGCAGGCUUCAGCCAAGAGGUGGCGUUAAGAUGCAAUGCAAUGUUGUCUUAGCAAUAAAAUAUUACCUGUUUUAACAGUAGUAUGCCUGAUGCUUAGAGGUACACAAACCAGUUAAGGAAACAGAAAAUACACUGUAGGUGAGCAAAGGAAUUCGACAGGAAUUCAAUUGGUCUGAGUUGGGACUGAAAAACUAGAGUAACUUAUGCCUUAAGUAACCACUUGUAAUGUAUACCAAAGAUUCUUACACUUUGUAAAUUAGAAUGCGGCUGUGCAAAUGUGAACCAGCAGCUGGAUACAGCUUCUAUUUUAGAUGUUAGGUAAGAUACUUAGACGCUUGAGGGAUUAGGACUAGAUGAUCUUUAAGGUUCCUUCCAACCCAAGCCAUCCUAUGAUUCUUAUAUUAUUGUCUUAACCGUACUUGGAAUGAUGAAUUUUUUUAGGCAUGCCUCCUCAUCAUAAAAAAGACAAGUAUUUACAAACCAAACAAAUGAAGCCAGACCUAAUUUGAAAACAAAACUAUACUCACAUUUAACACUGGAAUGCAAACUCUUUGAUGCAGAUGAGUCAACAGCAGCUGUAUUAACAAAUGAAGGUUCAGUCCAUUGAAACGUUUCUAUUCCAAAUAAUCUUACAUAAAAGGGGUUAUAGAUGAAACUGGUGAUAUCAAGGUGUUGAAUUCCUCAUAGAAAUAUGGUACUGGUAUGCAUAAUGUUAGCAGGUCUGCAAGCCAUCACAUCCUUUUUUUCCUUUUUUCCCCUAGUCAUUUAUACUGUUUUCUGUCUCCUGUUUCUUACCCAACAGUGAGCUUUCAAAACCUAGAGUAGAUGAAAUAUAAUCAAAUCAGUUGAGUUACACUAUAUUAAACUAACUGAGGGUUUGACUCCUUGUCCUCAUCUGAGUGAAAGUGCCUCAGAAGUGCUAUUGUUGAUUCAGUAUUAAAUCUGGGUCUGAAUUUUGUGGUUGUAGGCCUUGUUUACUUUGGUAUAGAAAUGAGAAUUAGUGCAGCUAAUGUUAUUAACAUUCUUUUUAGUUUACAAGUCAAAAAAAGCUGUGUACAUCUUAUUUCAACAUCAGUUGUUAGUCAGAAAAUACUUCAGGAAUGACUAGCAUGGCUGCUAUCAGUCAUCAAGAGCCUCCAAGUGAUGGUAUAACGAGAUUCAGGUUAUUCCUAGACUGAAGGGUAUCAGUUCUUGAUCAUCUGUCUAUCGGUAGAAGUUAUAUGAUUACAUAGGCAUUUUUGUACACUAUGUUUUCUGUUAUUUGGUCAUUUGAUUUUUCUAUGCAAAUAGUGAAAUCAAGUGAGUUUCCAGGAACAAAGCCAUGUCACUGUACUGCUGCAUACUCUUCAGUAAGUCACAUGUCUGUAUGGGAGAUGGUAUGAAUACUGAUGAAAGUGUAUGUCUCAUGUGCUAUACCUAGAGAUAACUACAAUAUAUGGACAAAAACUAUUUUUGACUGUGAAGGAAGAAGUAAUCAUUUAGAAGCACAGUACUCCAGUUGCAUUUGAAGGGCACUGACUCCAUUUUCAUCCAAAACACUUUAGUGAUUACUGCUACAUGUCACAGCAAAUCAGAGCUUGUACAAGUGCUCCAAACACUGUUUCAGACAUGCAGGACUAGCUACUGAUUGGAGUGAGGCCAAAUAGACUGUAUUCAAAAAGCAGCUCUACUUUAAAAAAAAAAAAAAGUGAAUAUUUAUAAGGGCACUGGAGAAAGCCUCUAAGCAACCCUGAUCAGAUUUUGCGGAGGCAUGAAACCCUAUCAUCUGCUACAAGGAUAUGGAGCAAGUGACAACUCAGCACUUCAGCACAAGGUAUGUACAGACCUUGAUCUCCUUGCAGAAUUACAGUUCUUAGUAUCUAUGAAAGUUCAACUCUGCAAAGAGAACCUGACUGGAACGAUGAAGCAUUAUAAUAAGGAAAAAGUUUUUUUUUUUUUAAUAUUAGAGGUUCCUGCUCUCAUAUGCUCUAAAGCUAACUUUAGAAACUAUCAUUUCAGAUGGCAAAACAUAAGAAAUAGAAAUUUUAGCCACUGGAAAUUUUGACUGGCAUCUGUGCUGAUAAGGCCUUUCCAGCUUAACUGAACUGUGCUAGAGACAUGCAAGACUGACCUGCGAAAAAAAAAAACCAAAAACCAAAAACAAAAACAAAAAACUAAAAAACAAACCCAACUGAAAUCUGUUUUGGAACAAAGCACUUGGCUUCUUUUAUGCCAAGAAUAUCUUCUGUGUAUUUUCUUUUGAGCUUUAAGAAUGUAAUAAACAACUGAAGAAGCAUCUUUGAGUUGUUUUCUUUCUUUUAUUUUUCAAUCUUCAGUCUUGUUUUAGGAUUCAUCAGUUGAAAAUGAUGAAAAUUUCGAUUAUACGCGACAAUCUUUGCUUUACUUAAUUUUUUUGUUCCUAAUGCUUUAUGUUUAUGAGAAAUGCACUGCGAUUUGAGUUCUGCAUUCCUUAGAGUUUGCUAUUUCUGUGAUGUUAGCAAAACAAGAGUAAAAGUCACUUAAGAACAAGAGUACGCAGCAGCAGUCCAGCCUCCAAACUAUGAUAUGAGUGGUAAGGUGAUGAACAGGACCAAGGUGAAUGUACUGCAACUUCAAAAUGAUGAUUCUGAUACAGUGAUAAAAUAGUUCACUGGAUUUGUGUUAGUUAGCCUAAGAUUGCUGAAAAUGACCAGUCUCUUGGCAGAAAUAGCAGCAGCAGCAGUCUGAUCUAGUGUUCCACAGCUAUAUGUUUCUGCAAAGUUCACUGUGUGUUUUUAAGUGAAUUGUUUGGUUAAAAUGGCUGGGAGUCUAAAGACUGGAAGUCUUGCAAUAACCUAACUACAGAUACAACCAUUCACUUCACUUGUUUUCAUCUGCACUUCAAACACCAGGAACUUUACACAGUUCCAGGCAACAGAGAGAGGACAUUUUUUAAAUUCCAAGUUCUCCUUAAAGCUUGAAGCUAUUUGCAGAAGAGAGGGUGUCUGAAAAGCUCUCUCAAUUACAAAUGUAAACUACAGGAACUUCCUUCUAGGUUCUCAGGACUGAUGCUUUAAUUUUCUAAGCCUCUAAAGCUGUAACCUCUCUGUUAUUCUUCUGGGGGCUAUCUCAAUUAAAUAACUACCUGCCCUAGCUCUCAUUUUACCUUUCCUAUUAUUUCAACUGACAUAUACAUCUAAAGAGAAACCACUAUUAAUAUACAUGCAGAGAAUUAAAUAAUUUUUCUCUUGCUGAAAUUAAAUUGACAUUUUGUAGAAUGAUUUGACUAUGUAUACUUCACACCUCUCAGCAGCGGGGAUUUGCUUCUCCUAAAGCAGUUCCAGUCAAGAGGUCUACAUAUCUCCUCUUUUACAGCAUGCCGUGUUGUGUCUCAGCUUUAAAUUCUGCUAUGUCUCUUGAGUUAAUGAAGGUGGGAGUGAACAAAGAAGGAGGAAAAGAUUCAUCAGCCAGUCAAAAGUCAAUCAGACAAUCAACGUACCCUGGAAUGUGAUUUCAUCUUUCAGUGACGUGGAUUGCAUCAUCACUGGAGAGUGAACAUACCUUUGGCAGACAUCAGUUUCUUGUAGUAAGCAGCCACGCGAUCUCAAACGAUGUGCUGAUUGGAGAGCUUGCAGGAAGAUCCAGGAGAAAAAACUGCAAAAGGAGAAGUCUUAGUUCAUCCGAAGGGGCAAGAAACAUCUUUUAAAUUGUUUUUAUAACGUUAAUAGCUUAAAAAAUAUUUUAUCACCUUUUGAUUGCAACAAGAUCAAGUCAAUAUUCUUUAAUUUCUUUCAGGAAGUAAGGGUAACAAAAUAUAACAAAAAGUGGUAAAUUAUUGUCAUUUUGCGUAUUUUUGAAUACUUGAGAACUACUACUUUCAGAAAAUAACACACAAGCUUCAGAUCUUACAGAACUCUGGAGAAGACUAGAGGAUCUCACUAUUUAUUAUCUGAUGUAAUGAGAGACGUUUAUAUUUUGAAUGGUAUAAGAGUGGAAACAUGCACAUACAAAAAAUCAACCACGUAAUAACAUCUUGCUUGUUGGUAAAACCAGCCCUUGCUCUUCCAGUCUGUAGUGAGGAAAAUGGACUGGAUGUACACAAAGACAGAAUUAGGUUCAGCAAACAAAGCAGAAUGUAGAACAGCAAUAUGUAAUGCACUAACUGACCAUAACCCUCCUCUGAAUCUCUGACUCAGUUUCUCCAGUCAGGAUGAAUUUGUCUCUGCAUCUGACAGAAGUUCAUUUGCCCAGGAAGAAAGUCAAGGAAUGGCCAGAGACUUCAACUGCCUCCAAUUUAUUUUGUCAUCUUUUGGACAAGCACCAGAACAUGGAACAGGACAGAACACCUAACGCCUUAUGUAUUGCCUCAUUUAGUAUUAUUUAGUAAUGUGCUCUGACAAGGGACUGGGAUGGAGCCCAGCUUUCAGCAGCCUGUCCAGCUGCAGCCUCACAUCCCACCACAACCAGGCAUGGAAAGGUGAUGAUACUUCCACUCCAGAACCUCCUAUUCUGGUUGUUCAUCAAGCAUGUGCACUCAGUCUGAAUGCUUACACCAUGAUACAGUGCAGUGACACGAAGAGAAACAGUGACUACAUGUUUGCUAUAAACAAUGGACAACUUGGUGGAAAAUGCUGACCAAAUCACAUUGAUGUCUUUGUUGCAAUAAAAUUCAGCAGGAGAUUUGAUACUCAAAACAGAAAAAUGUAAAGCUUGCAGUGUUUCCAAACAUGGUCCUGAUGAUAGUAUCAGACUAAAGAAAUCAAAUGCUUUUCUGUACCUGAUAGCAACAGUUCUUCACUAUCCAAACUUCAAAGAUGUAAUUUUUACAUGAAUUUUACCUAAGGUGCUGCAACCUCUUGGUGACAAAAGUAUCUGGGACAAACUCUUCAGUAAUAACCAGUGACAUUUCUAGCUGGUGUGAAGUGGGACAGUUCUGCUGAGUUCAAGAAAUGCCGAUAUCCUAAGUCACAGCAAUGAGAGGCUCUUGUCACUAAGGAAAAGAAAAUAAUAUUUUGGGAAACAUCCCAAGUAAUUCCUUGAUUGGCAGUGAUAGCCUGUAUUCAAUAAAUGCAGUGAAAAAGACAACAUGGCAGAAGAACUGUGUGGUGAUCCAAACAAUAUCCAAGGAUUAAAAAGGGAUGGAAAAUCCAUUUAUAAAAGAACAUUACAACUCCAAAUUUAAAAUGCAGAAGAUGUACAAGGCACCAGUAGUUUAAUCUAAUUUUUUGUCUUUCAUAUAAUCUAUCUUAGGUCCAGACAAUUACUAACAUUGUGCAAUAAGUGGUAUUGUGGUUAUUCCUAUGUAAGAAAAAAAGAAAAGCAAGUUCUUUUAUUUGCCAGAGACAUUCUGUUGAACUUUGGCAAAUCAUUUUGUCUUCUUGUGUUUCAAUUUCUCCUAUGAAAAGAAGACAUAAAAAGCACAUCUGUAUCUCAAAGGACACAGUUUUAAGGAUAAGCACAAUAAAAUGGGAGAUACAAUUCUCAUCAAAAUACCCCUAACCUCCUAGAAAGGGCGCUUUUAUAUGAGCUCACUGGAAAAUUCAAACUUGUAAACGGAUUCUUUUUCUUUUGUUUUCUUUUGUUUUCUUUUUCAUCUUUGUAUAACUUUAAUUUGAGGGAAGUGUUAAAUAGAAUUACUCCAGGAAUUUUAGUAACCUUUUAUGAGGCUAUGCUGAUGUCUGCAUAGGGAAAACAUGUCAGGUCAAAGUGAAGCAGUCCUUCUGAGCGCUGUAAAGGCAGGCAGAGUGCUCAAACCUAUGUUUGAACAGAGUCAAUUUUCAGUAUUUACUGUUGUCUUAUGUGGAACUGCUCCACAUGCAAUCCAAACUUUCACAAAUUUCAACUUUUUCUAUAUAUGAGCACAGAUCUGUGCACAGGAAGUUUCCUGCUUUUGAAAAUCUUCCUUUAGCUGAGCACCAUUGUAUCUUAAAGACGUUUGCAUCUUGCUUCUCCAUGAGGAAAGAUUUCCAGGAAAUCCAAGAAUGAGAUACAAAGAACAGUGAUAAGUGUCUCAACACUGCCUCUUUUUAUUUCCUACUUUUUAAUGACUUCCCUAGUAAUUUAUUAUCAUCCUGAAUAUGUAGUUGUAUGAUGACUAAUUGAAUUAGGUUGCACUGAUUGAACUGCAACAGAUUACUUCUGCAAAUCAUGUGUGGAGAAUAUAUCAUGUCCAGAGGUAUAAUGUCAUACCAUAAAUCCACUUGUAGCAGUAUUAAAGUUUGACUGAUACACAAUGACAGUGAUAAAACAUGUCCUUUCUAUGUAGCUGAAAAUCAAAAAUAUGCUUUUGAAAAACACAAGAGGUGACUUUGUUAGACCAGCACACUGCUAUUUGAAAGC